UUCGAAGUAAGUAACAGCAGGAUUCUGGGCUGAAAUUUGGAGCCAAACUUCUGUUUGUUCGCUCUUGAAAUCAAGAAGGUGGACUAGAGGUGGACACCUUCCGGGGCUGACAUCAAGGUGAUGGCAGGGCCAUGUUCCUUGCUGGACACUCCAUGUGAGAAACCACUUGCUUGUCUUUUGAAGGGUCUAGGGGCCACAGCACUUCUUGGCUUAAGGCCUCAGACACCAUCUCUGUAUCCAGCAAUGUCUGAAUAGGUUCUUCCCAUACUGCUGGGUCUCUCUCUGCCACAUAAUGUGUCUUGGACAAAGAAGGCAAGAAGUCACAACACAAUUAAUGAAAAAUGUCAUUAUGAGUGCUCAAUGAAAGCUACUAAAAUGACAAUACCCAGGCAUGAGUGUUUUUGUGGCAACUCCUAAUUGUCUCUAGCUUCUGGAAUUAUUCUCAUAAAAACCUUCUGUCCAAAUUUGAGGACACCACAAAUUCUGCUAAUAAGCCCCAAGAAACUUCAGCUUAAACGUGUCUUUGGCAAACAAAUCCACUUUUAACUUUUGGAAAGCCACAGAAAUCUUCCACACGGCAGACUGUCUUUUGACCUUGCCUUCCGGGAACUAUUUGUGCCGGAUGGACGUCUCAUGAAUUCUGCACCAACAGCUCGGUUUGCUUUCCCUUCAGGCGAAGCAUCUCUGCUCUUGAAUGCAAGAGGCCCCACCAGCGUCCUCGGGAUUCCAGGCUACCACCACAGCUGUCGCAGUGCGCUGUGGCAUUCAGGAAUGUGGGCAGAAAGCCCUAUAGGAAAGGGGGCACCAGACAGGCAGGGAAAAAAGAACAGCCCCCAAAGCUUGUGAGUGGCGGGGAUUUUUCAAAUCAAUCUCCACAGUACUGCUUCCCUGAAUUCACUGAAAAUGUGCAGUUUUCCUUUAUUCGGCGAGUCCAGUUCAUACCCCAAGCGAGGAAGGAUUCCUUCAAGCAGGCCAGCAGCUGCAGCACUCCGAAGGGAAAGAGGAAGACAAUACAUUUUCCUGCUUCAGUUCUGCCAUGGCAGGUGCGCACCCAGGGGCCCUGCCUCCAGAAGGAACUCAGUCUUGGCUGGAGAGCUGUCAAUUAAUCAUCCAGGAGAAUGCCUGGGACAGCGGGGAGAAAAGUCUCAUUCAUUUCCGCGGGACCACACCGCAGCCACUGAGCCAGUGUUUCUGCAAAGAAGAGUUCAGCUGCCUCCUGCCUCCAGGGGUCAUUUGUUUGUUCCUGCAUGUUAAAGAACAGCUCUCUACAGCUUCACACAGGCCUAUGCUGAGUCUGCCCAAGGAAUUUGGCGCAUGCCUGGUAGUUAUUCACUUUCACUGUUCAGGGAUCGAAUGCGCCCACUCUAUUUCUCCCCCCCAAAUCAAUUCUGCUCAUCCUUCACCGAGAUCCACUGCUGUCUGGUGCCACUGAUUUCUCUUCCUUUUUACUCCAUUUGAUGAAUAAAAUGGUUGUGGCAUUGUGGCCAUCAUUUACAACGACUAUGAUUAAAAAACAAAACAAAACAAAACCCUGCCUGUAACGCCCCCCACCCACCACUGCGUUCCCGUUUAGCCUUCUCAUAGCUGAAAGUAUG
Molecule: long non-coding RNA, 1595 nt
Organism: Mus musculus (house mouse)
Lineage: Eukaryota; Metazoa; Chordata; Mammalia; Rodentia; Muridae
Product: predicted gene, 41767
Exons: 3
Source: RefSeq, a predicted model, not a curated record